ACGCNUGGGUAACCUGCCCCUGUACACACGGAUAACAUACCGAAAGGUAUGCUAAUACGAGAUAAAGUACUUUUAUCGCAUGGUAGAAGUAUCAAAGCUUUUGCGGUACAGGAUGGACCCGCGUCUGAUUAGCUAGUUGGUAAGGUAACGGCUUACCAAGGCGACGAUCAGUAGCCGACCUGAGAGGGUGAUCGGCCACAUUGGAACUGAGACACGGUCCAAACUCCUACGGGAGGCAGCAGUGGGGAAUAUUGCACAGUGGGCGAAAGCCUGAUGCAGCAACGCCGCGUGAGCGAUGAAGGCCUUCGGGUCGUAAAGCUCUGUCCUCAAGGAAGAUAAUGACGGUACUUGAGGAGGAAGCCCCGGCUAACUACGUGCCAGCAGCCGCGGUAAUACGUAGGGGGCUAGCGUUAUCCGGAAUUACUGGGCGUAAAGGGUGCGUAGGUGGUUUCUUAAGUCAGAGGUGAAAGGCUACGGCUCAACCGUAGUAAGCCUUUGAAACUGGGGAACUUGAGUGCAGGAGAGGAGAGUGGAAUUCCUAGUGUAGCGGUGAAAUGCGUAGAUAUUAGGAGGAACACCAGUUGCGAAGGCGGCUCUCUGGACUGUAACUGACACUGAGGCACGAAAGCGUGGGGAGCAAACAGGAUUAGAUACCCUGGUAGU
This 663-nucleotide ribosomal RNA is filed under the name uncultured bacterium. RNAcentral describes it as "bacterial SSU rRNA". It matches the Rfam family "Bacterial small subunit ribosomal RNA", at positions 113 to 794 of the family's 1533-position model. The record is from RNAcentral.